CUGAAAGUGAAGAAUUCAAGACUGAAAGUGAAGAAUUCCAGACUGAAAGUGAAGAAUCCCAAUGUGAUCAUGUCUGUGGCAUUGUCUUUCAAAUGUGCUGACCUUGAAAACCAUACAAAGACACGUUCACAUGAUGGUAUUUCACAAUCCUCUAAUUUGAAAAUGAUGAAUAAGACACCUAAUGAAGAUAAACUGAUAUUUUGAAGAUAGUUGCCUUUCAAAGACCAUACAUCCAGAUCAAGUGAAGCGGCUGUGGUGCUAGUGUUGGUGGUGGCGGCAGGCGGGUGAGUGGUAACUUGAGAGGUGCCCGAAGCUAAGCUGGAGGAG
Long non-coding RNA from Bombina bombina (fire-bellied toad), 327 nucleotides. RefSeq lists it as uncharacterized. NCBI's taxonomy places the organism in Eukaryota, Metazoa, Chordata, Amphibia, Anura, Bombinatoridae. The transcript is spliced from 3 exons. The record is from RefSeq and is a predicted model, not a curated record.